AAUUAGAAGUCAUCGGGUGGGGCUUCCAGGAACAGGCUUUUUAUAGGAGGCUGACUCAGUCUUUUGCCCCUCUUUUCCCUCUUUCUUCCUGGAACAUGGGCAGGAUGCUGAAGGCCUCUGUCUCCACGAGCCUUUUUGUCAUGUCAUAGGGAAAAGUGAAGGGAACGGGAACACCCUAGACCUAGAUAUCCUGAGGGAGUCCCCCUAGAUGGGCUCCCCAUGGUGGGGACAAAAACCUCUAAGGGCUUGAGCCAUUGUGAUUGGGUCUUGCCAUUAACACUGGGAUAGAAUCUCUACUGGACACAGGCACAGAUCCCAUUUCUGUCAUCUGAGCGAUGACAGGCCCCUGGGACUUGAUGUGCCAAAUGCUGGGUCAUCUGUCUUUCUCCGAAAGACCUCUCACACAGACAUUUCUGGAAGGAGGGAACUAAGUCUCCCCAUGCAGACCAAGUGGAUGCCAUGAGAAUACUCAGUCCCUUGAAGCUUCUGAGUCCUGUAGCGUGCGUAUGUAUUCACAAGCUAAACAUUUUUAAUUAAAAAUAUAUGUACGUCUUG
Rattus norvegicus (Norway rat) is the source of this 555-nucleotide long non-coding RNA. RefSeq lists it as uncharacterized. Lineage: Eukaryota; Metazoa; Chordata; Mammalia; Rodentia; Muridae. The record is from RefSeq and is a predicted model, not a curated record.